UUUUAUUUUGGGACCGGACACACUAUUAUAUAAAGAGGAUCUGUGAGUGUUACUUGGUCUUGUAAGCUAUUUUUCUUUUUUUCAGCAAAAUGUUGUGAGCACCUACCAUAUGCCAGGCACUGUUCAGUGAACUGGUUGUACAGGAGUGAAUGAGAUCAUCUUGAUUUUGAGAAGUUUAUAAUCUACUCAAGGGAAACACGUGUAAUCAACUAUGUUUCAGACAUAACCCCUCAAAACCAAAGCAGAACCUCUUCAAGGAGCUGAGAGAUGCAAGCCUGGAGGAGAAAAGCGGGGCAGCAUCAAACCCCUCCCACUGGGGCAACCUGCUGAGCAUCUCCCUGGCCUUGGCCCCUGGCCAUACCACACAAGUGUCCAAUGAGUCACUGAUCCUGAAGAACAAGAGAAGACUGACCACAGACCCCAAAAGGAAGCAGGAGUACAACCUUCGAAGUUGGUGGGCAACAAGAGGUCAGAGGUUGACAAGCAUCCACACAGCUCUAAGACUAGCAUCAUGUGGCUACCCAGGACCUGGGAGAGUGCUGCAGAGCAGGAGCAGGAAAGGGACCGGCUGUUCCCAUAGAACUUCAUGUCACAGGUCUGGGAGCCAGGGGGCCUUGGUUCUAGUCCCAACUCUCCCUCUAAGUUGUCUUAUGGCCACAGGUGAGUGAAAUAGCUUCUCUGGCCUCAGCUUCCUCACGAUUAAAAUGACACAGUUGUGCAAAA
Molecule: long non-coding RNA, 723 nt
Filed under: Homo sapiens (human)
Lineage: Eukaryota; Metazoa; Chordata; Mammalia; Primates; Hominidae
Description: novel transcript
Source: RNAcentral